GUGCGAUCCGUUAAUCGCAAACUUAAAUAUAAACGCUGACGAAAAUCAGUACGCUCUUGCAGCCUAAGCUGUAGGAGGCUGUCGCUUUAGCGGCCCGUCUGUCCCCGUGCACUCACACGCGGGGGUACAGGCGUCAAACAUGUGAGAAACGACGUGCGCUAAGCUUUGCACGCACGGGCGUAUCAUGAAGCUACUUACUUAUAAGGUUUGUCCUUGGACCUUUUAAGUAAGGAAACGGAGCGAUCCAAAACCAAUGACUAUGAUAGUAGAAGUACAGGGAAUGGGUCUUUGGACACGGGUUCGACUCCCGUCUACUCCACU
Molecule: transfer-messenger RNA, 321 nt
Filed under: bovine gut metagenome
Rfam family: transfer-messenger RNA
About the family: Bacterial tmRNA, also known as 10Sa RNA or SsrA, is named for its dual tRNA and mRNA-like properties. Its role is to liberate the mRNA from a stalled ribosome. To accomplish this part of the tmRNA is used as a reading frame that ends in a translation stop signal.
Source: RNAcentral